CCUACGGGGGGCUGCAGUGGGGAAUAUUGGACAAUGGGGGCAACCCUGAUCCAGCCAUGCCGCGUGUGUGAAGAAGGCCCUCGGGUUGUAAAGCACUUUCAGUGAGGAAGAACGCCUGGUGGUUAAUACCCAUCAGGAAAGACAUCACUCACAGAAGAAGCACCGGCUAACUCCGUGCCAGCAGCCGCGGUAAUACGGAGGGUGCGAGCGUUAAUCGGAAUUACUGGGCGUAAAGCGCGCGUAGGUGGCUUGAUAAGCCGGUUGUGAAAGCCCCGGGCUCAACCUGGGAACGGCAUCCGGAACUGUCAAGCUAGAGGGAAGGAGAGGAAGGUAGAAUUCCCGGUGUAGCGGUGAAAUGCGUAGAGAUCGGGAGGAAUACCAGUGGCGAAGGCGGCCUUCUGGACUGACACUGACACUGAGGUGCGAAAGCGUGGGUAGCAAACAGGAUUAGAUACCCUUGUAGUC
RNAcentral lists this ribosomal RNA (465 nucleotides) under Vreelandella stevensii. RNAcentral's name for it is "partial 16S ribosomal RNA". It matches the Rfam family "Bacterial small subunit ribosomal RNA", at positions 338 to 795 of the family's 1533-position model. Lineage: Bacteria; Pseudomonadati; Pseudomonadota; Gammaproteobacteria; Oceanospirillales; Halomonadaceae. The record is from RNAcentral.